GGCGGCAGGCCUAACACAUGCAAGUCGAGCGGCAGCGGGAAAGUAGCUUGCUACUUUUGCCGGCGAGCGGCGGACGGGUGAGUAAUGCCUGGGAAAUUGCCCANUCGAGGGGGAUAACAGUUGGAAACGACUGCUAAUACCGCAUACGCCCUACGGGGGAAAGCAGGGGACCUUCCGGCCUUGCGCGAUUGGAUAUGCCCAGGUGGGAUUAGCUAGUUGGUGAGGUAAUGGCUCACCAAGGCGACGAUCCCUAGCUGGUCUGAGAGGAUGAUCAGCCACUCUGGAACUGACACACGGCCCACACUCCUACGGGAGGCAGCAGUGGGGAAUAUUGCACAAUGGGGGAAACCCUGAUGCAGCCAUGCCGCGUGUGUGAAGAAGGCCUUCGGGUUGUAAAGCACUUUCAGCGAGGAGGAAAGGUUGAUGCCUAAUACNUAUCAACUGUGACGUUACUCGCANAANAAGCACCNNCUAACUCC
RNAcentral lists this ribosomal RNA (479 nucleotides) under uncultured bacterium. RNAcentral's name for it is "bacterial SSU rRNA". It matches the Rfam family "Bacterial small subunit ribosomal RNA", at positions 38 to 504 of the family's 1533-position model. The record is from RNAcentral.